CGCAUCUGUGCAUGCAGCAUAUCAAUAGCGGAGGAAAAGGAACUAACAAGGAUUCCCUUAGUAACGGCGAGUGAAGCGGGAAGAGUUCAAAUUUGAAAUCUUCAAGGUUUUAUCUUGACGAAUUGUAGUUUAAAGAAGUGUUUUCUGCUGAAGUUUUGGUAAAAGUUCUUUGGAAUAGGACAUCAUAGAGGGUGAGAAUCCCGUAUUUGACCAUUAUUUUCAGCUUUGUGAUACACUUUCAAAGAGUCGGACUUGUUUGGGAAUGCAGUCCAAAAUGGGUGGUAAAUUUCAUCUAAAGCUAAAUAUUGGCGAGAGACCGAUAGCGAACAAGUACCGUGAGGGAAAGAUGAAAAGAACUUUGAAAAGAGAGUUAAACAGUACGUGAAAUUGUCAAAAGGGAAGCGUUUGACACCAGUGUUGUUUUCUCGAAAAUCAAUUAAAAAUGGCUCGAUUUUGUAUUGCUGAGACCUUAAAAGCUCACUGUACAUUUUUCCGUGUCUUUUUUAAUGCACUUUUCGUUUAACAAGUCAACAUCGGUUUCUUUUGUUGUAAAAGGGUCAUUGGAAGGUGGCUUUCUUUUCGGAGAAAGUGUUUAUAGCCUUUGGCCUCUGCAAUCGGAAGAGACUGAGGUCUGCAGCGUAGACUCUUCGGGGUUAGAUACAUUUGUGCUAAGUUAUAGCUUUUUAUAGACAACUUGUUGACUAUAAUUAGUCUUGUAGCUUACUCGCUUAUGCUAUUUUACCUACGCUUAGGAUGUUGACGCAUGAGAUAUACGC
This 776-nucleotide ribosomal RNA is filed under the name uncultured Neocallimastigales. Its description in RNAcentral is "partial large subunit ribosomal RNA". It matches the Rfam family "Eukaryotic large subunit ribosomal RNA", at positions 26 to 634 of the family's 3401-position model. The record is from RNAcentral. Lineage: Eukaryota; Fungi; Neocallimastigomycota; Neocallimastigomycetes; Neocallimastigales.